This is a long non-coding RNA of Suricata suricatta (meerkat), 506 nucleotides long. RefSeq lists it as uncharacterized. Lineage: Eukaryota; Metazoa; Chordata; Mammalia; Carnivora; Herpestidae. The transcript has 4 exons. The record is from RefSeq and is a predicted model, not a curated record.
AAUAACUGGUUUUAAUUUUAAUUUCCUUGAUUAUUAAUAAUGUUGGGAACUGAUCCAUACCAGCCAUUUGAAUACCCACUUUUGGUUUGUCAAGGCCACAAAGAAUAACUAAAACAACCAAAACAUUGUGAAUUGGACUAACACGUGACAUUUUGCAUGAUAUGAGGAAGAAUUUUUCUGCACAGGGAAAACAAAAGCUGAUGAAGACAUAUGAUUGAAGCCAUUUAAGGCGAACCGAAAUAAUGAAAAGCAUGAAAAAGCCCAUUUCACCUUAAAAAUGCUAAGCCUAUGGUGUUGUUUAUUUUAUGCCAACAUUUACAACGAUGUGUGGAUGCAGGGCGGGAGAACUGGAAGAUAUACGGAUGUCAACUUGGUCUUCUUAAGAGAAUGUUCUUAUCCAAUUGAUGGCCUGUUCAAGAAACUUAUUUUCCUAGGAGCGCCUGUGUGACUCAGUUGGUGUGUCUGACUUCAGCUCAGGUCAUGAUCCCACGGUUUGUGGGAUCUGU